Molecule: RNA transcript, 553 nt
Organism: Camponotus floridanus (Florida carpenter ant)
Lineage: Eukaryota; Metazoa; Arthropoda; Insecta; Hymenoptera; Formicidae
Gene name: 28S ribosomal protein S5, mitochondrial-like
Exons: 4
Source: RefSeq, a predicted model, not a curated record
GUAAAUCUUGAAAAAAAGCAAAAACUUAUGGAAUUACCACAAAGUCAGACCAGACCAAUGCAAAUAAAAUUAUCGCCAUUGGAAUGUGGUUGGACGAGUGUUACAAUGGAUGGCAGAAGCAUUGAAUCAAAUCUUAUUGGAAAAGAUACAUUUGAAAGUUUUGAAACCUGGAUUUUGGAAAAUAAAAUGAUAACUUGUAUGACCGGUAAUUUAGCACGUAAGACUAGAAUCAGUUCAUUUAUAGUAACUGGAAAUGGAAAUGGAUUAGCUGGAUUUGCGUUAUCAAAAGCCAAAGCAUCCCUAAAGACGGUUAAAUAGGGCUGGUCAAAGACUAAUGUAUAUUCCUACAUACAAGGAAUACACUGUGUUACAUGAUUUAUUUACACAGUUUGAGAAUAUAAAAAUAUUUGUAAAGAAAAUUCAUGAAGGAUAAUGGGCUUGUUUGUCAUCAUGCGAUAAAAGCGUGUUGCGAGAUAAAGGAUAUGCAUGCCAAAGUACAAAGAGGAAUGUAAAAGCAUUCUUUAUUGGUUUAUUGCAACAGAUAUUUCUAUUG